Peromyscus californicus insignis is the source of this 8799-nucleotide RNA transcript. It is a transcript of the gene named acid sensing ion channel subunit 2, with no coding region annotated. The transcript is spliced from 2 exons. The record is from RefSeq and is a predicted model, not a curated record. Lineage: Eukaryota; Metazoa; Chordata; Mammalia; Rodentia; Cricetidae.
UUAGAAAUAUAUUUUUGUCUGACAAAAUGAAAGUGGUCCACUGUUCUCGAUUAUUAUGGUUCAACACCAGCAGAAAACAAAAUUUCAUAUGUGAAAUGCCAUUCCCUGGCAGUCACUGACCUUUCUCGAUAAUAUUUUCAUGUGCUGGGGAGGUGAGUGAUUCAUCCCCCUGAAGAUAGAGAAAGUCUCCUAAAGUAGUAUGGAGAACUUGAGCACAACCUGUAAACAUCAUGGUAUUUUGAUUGGCAGGACAGUGUGGCUUAUUCUAGGUGAAGAGAACAGCGGAAGUAAAGACCCAUUAUGCACCCAUGAAUGAGGUACAAUGUGGAACUGAACCAGGGAGUUGGGUCACGGAAAAGCAAAUGAGGAGCAGAAAACCACAUGAGAUUUCUUAUCCGGGACUUGUCUUGAAAAUAGGGUUGAGGAGGGAAGAGACUUAAUAUUUAUUGAAUUCCUAUGAUUAUCUCUAAUACUCACUACUAGCCAGGAACUAUUCUCCCCAAUUUAUAUGUGAGGCGACUGAAGCUUAUAGGGAUAAAAGAAGGUGUCAGGGGUAAUAGAACUCAUAAGUGCCAGAGCCAAGCGCGUAGCAAGGAUGUUAAGAUACAAGAAGUUUUGAGAAGUGCAAAUGAAAUUUGAUUGGAAACAGUACAGCAAAUCCCACUUAGUGAAAUGUUAGGCCCAGCUCGCAGGAGAGCAGGUGCUCCGGUGGGAGGUAAAGGAUGGGCUUUGCCUUCUCAGGAAGGGAAAAUGAUUUGAGGUUGUAGAUUCCAGAUGAUGCCUUCAACAGUGCCCCCAGUUGGUCGAAGGACCAGGAGUGUGUCAAUUUCCUGAACCCAGACAAGGCUUUGCCCAACAAGCUUGGUGACAUCUGCCCAAAUGUCUUUUGUAGGUUUCUGGAGAUGUAUACAUCUGGAGUAAAGUCAGUCAGUCUCUCUCUCUCUCCCUCCCUCCCUCCUUCUCCUUCCCUCUUUCUUCCUCUCUCUAUCUCCCUCUCCUCCUCUGUGUAUAUGUGAGUGUGUAUGUGUGUGUGUUGCACAGAGCAACAUGUACAUACAUGUAUACACGUGCACACAGAGCAAAGUUUAACUGUGACAGAUGUCUAGUUUUCACUUCUUUGUCUGUUUUACGGAUAUCCAUCAAUCACUAAACCAAUCAACCGGUCAAUCAAUCACUCAUCUAUCAGGGACCCAGAAUAGCCCGAGUAGAUGAAUAUAUGACAUCCCUUAGGUCCCCUCUUCUCACUGUGACCUCUGCAUGUUGGUUUUCAAGUUUCAUGCUGUGUCAGUCUCCCAUGGAAAGCUUGUGAAUUAGAUCCUUAGAGCCGGCAAGUCUGGGGUUGGCUGAUGAAGGCCACAUUGUAACAAUUCCUGAGGACUUUUAGUGCAAAUGGUAUCUUGACCAAACUCAGAGUGGCUUUGAGUUUGCACCUCCUCCUGGCGCUGUGCCAGCAUUCAUAAAGAGGCCACCAGGGGUUGCUGAGCAAAACCUUUCCUAGUUGCAGGGAACUGAGACGGUGUUCUUGGUCUUUUUCAAAAGAGCCCCUCGCACUGUGGGUGGGAGGAUCUUCAAUGAGCAGGACUGAAGAGAGCAUGGAUCUUCCAGCUGAUUCUGAAUAAAAGCCCAUCAAAGCUAUUAGUCAGGUUCCCUCCAUCACUAAGAAUGCAGCUGUGUGUUUGAAGGAGCCCUGGGCUAGAAGCACAAGACCCUGCCUUGCUGCUGAUUCAUUCGGUGAUUCUCAGUGCAACUUCCCUGUUGCUACAGUCCAGUUGCCAUAGCAGAAAACUGGAGGGCUAGGAGUAGCUGGAUUCUAAGGUGCUCCAGGUCUAUGAUGACUUCAUUAACUCUCCCAAUCCCAACUUCCUAUGAGGUGUGAACCCUUUCCUGUCCCUCCAGCCCACCACAGGAGUUGCCCAUCCUUCCCUCCAGGUACCAAUCAAGUGGUCUCCUUUGCAAAGAGGAGAACACUAAAGAGACUUGGUCAAGGUUCCAGCUGGGAUGCAAGGGAAGCUGACUGUGUGUGAUCUUUGGAGUCAGGUUGUUAGCAUCCAGUUUACAUUUUCUCAUGUACUGGGGUGUAGGUAAGGAUGUUCUGAGUGCCAGGAAAGUGGGACUGGAGUUACAUGUGACUGAGGGAUCAGGGGGCACAUGGCCACUAUGCUACAAAAAUCCAGGAGCAUGGCUGAUGUGCUAAUUAUGUGACCUGUGCCCCCAGUCUUGUGUAGUAAACAACAUGAGAGGUAUCCCUCGAAGUGCGUAUAGGCUUAGAGGUGUAUCCUUCUCCUUGCAAGUGACUGUUAAUGGUAGCAUUUAAGGACCAUCUUUACAAGUGCUAGGUGGGCAUCUCAACAAAGUCUAUUGGCUGUGUCUUCCAUGGAAUCGAUGAACAACAUCACUUCAACUCAGUGUAGAAGCCAUCAGCUCAGGAGUCCAUGCACUUAGGGAGGGCUACGUCUUCCAUAUCUCAUCCUCCAUGCAUGAGUUGGAGAUCUCCAUGGAGACUCUGAUGAAGCAGAAGAUGCUUUCAAGUUCUACAUGGACCAGGGCCUCCUAGGAAGGACAGCCUCCUCUGUCCCUUUCCCAAAUAGAUGCUGCUUUCUCAGCCACGCCACGCUUGCUGCACUUGACAAGCAAAGUCGAGGUGAACAACUCCUAAUAAUAACUCAUGCACAUAGGGGUUCAAUUAUGCACCCUAUGGGGCUCUCUUGCCUCGCUGUGGUUUCUGCCCUGUGACAUUUUAAACCAACUGCUUAGAAAUCAACUGUGUGUUAGAUUUCAAGAAACAAACAUUCCCAAGCAUAGCCUUCCUUCAACGGACUUGAUUUGUAUUUGGGAAAUUAGGAAGCAGGAUUCUGAUGGGGCAUGGGCUUGUUCUGGUGGACCAUAGGGCCUCUGUAGGAGAGGCACUUAUUUUGUGGGGAGUCCAAGAGUCAAUCUUCCCUGAGAAGGGUAGAGAUUUUCAAAAUGAAAAAAAGAGUUAGAAGUGGGAAAGGGAAGUGGGUGGUAGUAACUGCCAUUCCGGGCAGACAGUGAGCACAGCAAGGGCAAAGUCCCUGGGGCAGGAGAGCUCAGUGACUGGGACACACUGGUGACUCCCUGUGGUUGAGAUGAAAAUACAUGGGCAGGGUCCUAGCAGAGGGAACUGGGGGGAGAAGGGGAUUCCAGAGCCAGAGCGUAGUGAUUUAGUCUACAUUCUCUGCAAAGUGCUGAGAACUUCUAAACCCAAACCCACGGGGAGUUGCUGAUUUAUUCUCAUUAGGAAAGUGACCUGAUCAGAAUUGCAUCUUCCAAGUGUCACACUGAUAGAAGACAGAACUGACCCAAGGGAGGAACAGAGGAGGAAUGAACAACUGUGGGGUGAUUACCAGAGUCCAGGGGAGGCAUGUGGAGGCCCCAUCAAUCUCCGGCAUAUUGCCCUUAGCUUGCCCCUGGACAGGAGAGCUGCUUCCAGCCCCCCUAACCCAGGCUGGCUCCUGAGAAGCUAUAGUCCUCCAGGACAAAGCAGGCUUCCUCAGCAGUGCAUGGGGGGAAAACUGAGGGGACCCUUUUAGAUCUGAUCUGGAACCUUGGGGUUCUUGGGAGUGGGAAUAACUAACCCUUCCUUGCAGAGGCUGAAUGGAGAAUUCUUGGAUUCUUUCUUCCAGGACUAAGUAAGGCCUUCCAUUUAUAGGUGAGCAUUAUCUAGAGUUCUGGGGGCCACUCCCUGCAGCUCCCUCCAUUUCUAUGGCAAUACUGCCCCUUUCUUUCUUUAUGACUUUCUCUCAGAUGGUUUCCCGGCACCUCCAGGGGUGCUAGAGAAGGGAGCUAAUUGCCAUACUAUAAAUACUGGCCCGAAUGAGCUCCCUCCUAGGGCUCCAAGACCUGGCUUUCCUUUCUCAUUGCCUCUGUGGUGGGUGGGCAGGAGUGGGUGGGUGCAAUCUACAACAGCAAUUCACCAAGAUGUUUUCGAGUUUCUUCAGGGCCUCUAGGGCUCAGCUGUGCCUUCCUUUACCCAAUUAACAGAGGAGUGGGAAGGAAUAAGGGCUAAAUGCCAGGCACAGUGCUAGGCUCUAGAAAUUUUGGGGUGAAUCAGAAAUGCUUUCAAAGACGUCAUAGAGUAGAGAAGAAGACAGAUCUACAGUCAAAUCACAGUGGAUUAUAUACGGUCUGGUGAAAGGGAAGAACCCUGGGUCUGCCUGGAGCAGGAAUGGAGGAUUUCACAAGGUGGGAAAGUUGGGACAAUGGACAAAGAGAGACCAGUAAGGCAGGCUAGACAGAAGGCAUAGGCAUAAGCAGUGCCACCCGAGCUAGCUAGAGCUGGCCCUGUGUGACUCUGGCCCAGGAUGUCUUAGGAGGAGGGGAGCAGGCAAAACACGGUGACACCCUAGAGUCAUGGAACUUGGUGUCAUGUGGUUGCUGGGAGUCACAGGAGGCUCUUGAGCUGUGGUGUGGUCUGAUCAGCAGCUGCUUAGGGAAGGUCACUCCAGAGGGAGGCGGGGACUGCCCUCCCUCUGGUCAGUUAGCCUCAUUAGUUCAAACAGGCUGCCUUCUCCCAGGGCUGGAGCUCAGAGGGAGGUGAGGGCAGUGAACAAGGAAUUCCAAUGAGGACACAAUUAACAUCUCACAAACAGGACAGAAAUGCAAACACCUCGCUGAAGAGUAGAAUUAUGCCCAAGGGGGAGGGAGGGAAAAAAAAAUCUUCCUCUAAUAGCUCUCCGACUUUCAUUAGUUCUGACAGUGAAGGCUGCAUCGUCCUGUGUUCCAUGGCAACUGUUUCCAGGAAGAGCAGCCCGGAGGAGGCAGGCUCUGAGACUUUCAAUCAGUCUGGAAGCUUAGCCAGACAAAACGUCUUGUCGCUAGCUUCGCAGGCUCCUUGGGCGCAGAAGGGAAAGGGAACGAUGUUGGCAAACACUCAGAGGUUAUCUGAAGCAAGAGGCAUCCAAGGCUGCCUCCCUUCUGAGGAUGCCUCCCAGGAGAAGCACUCAGGACCAGAGUUUCCUGCUUCAUGAGGACCAGGGCCUGAGGCUAAAACAGGGACCAGAGACAGGGCAAGCGAGGCUACAGGCUGUAAGGUCUUCUCCAUUCCUCUGGGAAUUAGUCAGACACCUCUUCACUGUGAACCCUCCUGGAGUAACAGAGGUAGAGAUCCUGAGGGCCUGAGCUGGAUCUAAAUUGCAGAUGCUCCUCACUAGCUGGGCUAUCCCAGGCAGCUUACAUCGUUUAUCUGGGGUUCACUGCAUGUCCCAUGGGUCCUAGGAGGAUAAUCAAGACAGCUUCUAGAAAGGCCUAGUUGCAGCAGCAUCUAUUAAUAGGUAGGUGUUGAUCUUUUGCCCUCUUGUUCUGUUCCUAUGUUUAGGGUCUGACCAGAUGAAACAGAUGCAUGGUCCAGCAUCCAGAGACUUUACGUUCCAGGCCCCUCUAGUAACACAGCCUACUCUUUCUAUCUUCUCUUCCUUUUCCAGCCUUUCUUCAAUGCCCUCCCAAUGAUUCCUGUGUCAUUGACUAUACAGCACCAAGAUGUUGUAGUGGGGGUGGAGGAAGCAAGCGACUUAGCUCUGUCUCUCAGCAAGUUAGGAAGUCCAGCUAUAGUUUGGUGUCCUUAGGACUCUGGUCCUAUGCCAGACAACCUGCUUGGGAUUUGGACCAGGGGAAACACAGACUACGUUGGUUGGCUACAUGGGAUGACACUCCUAGACAACACAACCCCCUCAGGGCUCUGUGCUUCAUCACAGCAAAUCUGUCGGAAGGACCUACUGUAUGAAGAAAUUCUGUGGCUUACACAGAAACCCUGUUCUUGUGAGCUUGCUGGCUAGAAGAGGGAGAUGGUCGUAAACCACGGACAGGAGGCAGGAUGUGGUGCAGGCAUGGACAAAGGAAAAGGAGGGGGAGGUGAGAGGACUGGAGUGUCAGGGAAAGAGGAGGGCUGUGCUUGAGAAGGCUGAAUCUCAUCUCAGCUGACUGAAAGGAGUCACAGUCCGGACAGUGUCUUCCAGGCCUAGGGGACUCAGUGCAAAGGCUCUGAUUGGCAUGCUCAAGGGACGGCAGGGGAACAAUGUGGGUGUCACCCUGCAGGUGUCCAGACUGGCUGGAUGGCUGUCAUUUUUCUCUAUGUGGUGCUGUGUUAAUUGCCAAGUAUUGGAAAGGGGCUGCUUUCUCCUCCCUUCAUCUACCACAAACUAAAUACUUUCUCACCAGUUCCAAGUAUCAUUUAAAUAAAGUCUUUUAAGCAUAAAGAAGCGUUGGGAAUCCAUCAAUGGAUUCUUAUGCCAGUGGAGAAACUGAGGCUCAGAAAGGGCCAAUUACACAGCUUGGUAGAAGAGAUGGAAUUAAUACCCAAGGUUCUGGAAGGUCUUGGGGGUUGGACUCAAGGUUUCUGAUACAGAGUACACUUGGGGGUCCCAAUCAGUUGGACCCCUCAGAUUCCUUUCAUCCCUGCUCACUUGAACCUCUGAAAUGGCCAUGAGGCUCCCAUGUCUGUGAACAUGACUGCUUCUGGCUCAGCUUCUGGCUCUUUAAUAAAGCCACACACUGACAACCUGAUCCACUGAGCAUCAUCCUUUGUCAUUCUCUAACCCUCAGAGCUACACUGCCCUGAGACAGGUCACCCCACCUACCUGAGCCAGUGUCUCUUGCUUCCUACCUGCUUAGGGAAGUUAGCCACUCAGUAAUGUAAAGUGUAUCUUACAGCAGUGUCUGACACAGGAGGUCAAUGAAAGUUUAUUGAGUAAAUAAAUCAGGAUAGUGUUUGCAGAAGUGUAUGUCUAUGGACCUGCUUAGCGUAUCCAUAAAGAAAAGGUCCGAGAACAUGACAAUCAAUGGUAUGGGUUUUGCAAUAAAGAAAAUGCAGGUGCAAGGCACACUAAAAAACCUCCCUUAUUAAAGGAUAAGAACUGGUUGGUAGGAUUAUUGGAAUUAAGUUGUAUACAGUGAUCAAUAGUAGUACAGUAUCCUUGGGAUGGGCUCUGGGGUAUCGUAGGCAGAGACUCUCCCACUUUAGUGGGGAUACCACAUCCCCAGGAGGGCUUGAUGAGUCAGUUUGCCCCUUCCCCACUUCCCCAGCUUACCAUUCAAGGUCUGUGAUUGCAUUUCCAAAUGUGUUCUGAGGUGAUGUGGCUGCGGCUUGCUGGGAGGUGAAAAAGCCCGUGUCUUAGAACAAGAUGAGGUCUGUGCAAAGAGAAGAAACAGAAGACCUCCAGGCUGGCUGUGCAAACAAUCCAGAUGGAGACAUGUUUUGGGAACCAUACCCAGGAGACAACCUGUUCUGUAGCCCAAGGAGUCAGCUGAUGUUUGCACACCUGGGUGGCCAGCUGCUCUCCCUCCAGCUCUGCCGCAGGAAAUCCCUCAGUCCAGGUGAAUCCAGAUGGUUGCUCUUGGGAGCCCUUCCAGUCUUUUUUCUUUCACUGUGUACUGAUUUGGUACCUGCCUACCAAGACUACAGAGCCACAGAAAGAGCAUAUGGAAGAACCCUGAGACGCUCUGGGGCCAUUCCUCAUCUUUCCCACUUGAGAAGCAUGCCAUGGCCAUUCCCCAAACUGCCUAAAGGGAAAGAGGACUACAGGGCCAUCCCCUGUACUGCUCACUGGGCCAAGAUCUACGCUUGAUUGUGUUUGUCCUUUGGAAAAAGAAAUAGAUGUCAUGAAUUGGAAAAGCAAGCAAUUCAUGUAGAUUAUUAAAUAAAUUAAAAAGCAGGAUAUAUUUAAAUUAAAAAUUAGAAUAUCUUCAAAGACAUUGAUCUUGCUUCACAAUUAGAUGCUUAUCCUUAGAGAUAACUUGACCUGUCUGUCUACCUGUCUACCUAUCAUGUAUCUAUCUAUCAUCUGUCCAUCUCAACAUGCCUGCAUGGUAUUGUUUAUUAGAUGUGCACAUGUUAUUAAAAUCUGAUCAUAGGAGCCACAUUACUUUGCAAUCAACAUUUUUCUUUAACAAUACAUCAUGAACAUCUUUCCUCUUUAGUCCUUUAGCGAUUACCCCAUCAUUCAUAAUGGUAGCACAUUAUCCUGUUGUAUGAUGUACCCUAAUUUAUUUAAUCAUUCCUGUUUUUAAAGACAACUGGGCUCUUUCCAUUUUUUAAAAUUAUAAACAGUACAUUUUGUACACUGUCAAUAAUCUCCUUCAUAUGCUUUUUUAGAAAUAAAGUAUUGGAUCAAAGUAUCCAUCCUUACAAUUGUUAUGCAGAGUGCCCUCUGAAAGGCUAUUCUGAUGUAUGCUCCCAUGACAAUCUCUGAGACUACUAAUUGCCCACAUGCUCAUUAGUCAUGGGUAUGCCGAGUCUAAAUCAUUCGCCAAGCUGAUGGAUAAGAAAUGAAUCCUUUGCAUUUUAAAAGUUACUUCAUUUUGAUUUUCAGUGAGGAAUUGAAUCUUUUUCUUGUGUCUCUUGGCUAUGUGUAUUUCUUAUCUCUCGUUCUACCUGAGGUAUGUGAUUUCGUGUGCCCUGGCCUCAACAUACAUGCACAUCACAGUGAAGAGCUUCAGGAAGUAAGUUAUGUCUGCCCCAGUGCCUACCCUACCAAAGAAACCUUUAUUAGUUGUCUACUCUGUGCUGGGUAUGAAAUUGUAAGGCUUUAGACACAAAGACACUGAACACAAUGUUUCCAUUCUGAAAUGUUUUUAAAGUCUGCCAUGAGAGACAAACAUAACCCACUGGAAGACACAAAUGAUGUGACUAGCCAUUACAGCGGCCUGAGGACAGCAGGGGCCCACCUUUUGUUUCUAAAUUGAGAGGAGAUGCUGUGAGGUCAUCUCGGUCCUCUGUUAUUCGAUGUUAGAAGUGCUGUUUCUGAUCUGAACCCUGAUAAUAAACAGUCAUACCUGUACCAAUGA